Molecule: unclassified non-coding RNA, 395 nt
Filed under: soil metagenome
Description: partial contains 5.8S ribosomal RNA, internal transcribed spacer 2, and large subunit ribosomal RNA
Rfam family: 5.8S ribosomal RNA (bases 1-121)
Source: RNAcentral
GAUGAAGAACGUAGCGAACGUGCGAAACGUAAUGUGAAUUGCAGAAUUCAGUGAAUCAUCGAAUCUUUGAACGCAUCUUGCGCUCCUUGGUAUUCCGAGGAGCAUGCCUGUUUGAGUGUCGUGAAUACUCUCAACUUCAACCCUUUUUUCGGAAAGGGAGGAAGGUUGGACUUGGGUGUUUGUCGAAGUGCGAGCUUCGACUCAUCCUAAAUGCAUUAGCGAUCUGCCUCGAUCACACACAAUGUGAUAAUUAAAACUAAAGCAUUGUUUAAUGAUCAAGUCGAGACUGCUUCUAACUGUCGCAAGACAAUAACGUGCAUACAUUUGUGCAUGUCAUUUGACCUCAAAUCAGGUAGGACUACCCGCUGAACUUAAGCAUAUCAAUAAGCGGACGA